RNAcentral lists this ribosomal RNA (765 nucleotides) under uncultured bacterium. RNAcentral's name for it is "bacterial SSU rRNA". It matches the Rfam family "Bacterial small subunit ribosomal RNA", at positions 547 to 1311 of the family's 1533-position model. The record is from RNAcentral.
GGAUUUACUGGGCGUAAAGCGCGCGUAGGUGGCCAAUUAAGUCAAAUGUGAAAUCCCCGAGCUUAACUUGGGAAUUGCAUUCGAUACUGGUUGGCUAGAGUAUGGGAUAGGAUGGUAGAAUUCCAGGUGUAGCGGUGAAAUGCGUAGAGAUCUGGAGGAAUACCGAUGGCGAAGGCAGCCAUCUGGCCUAAUACUGACACUGAGGUGCGAAAGCAUGGGGAGCAAACAGGAUUAGAUACCCUGGUAGUCCAUGCCGUAAACGAUGUCUACUAGCCGUUGGGGCCUUUGAGGCUUUAGUGGCGCAGCUAACGCGAUAAGUAGACCGCCUGGGGAGUACGGUCGCAAGACUAAAACUCAAAUGAAUUGACGGGGGCCCGCACAAGCGGUGGAGCAUGUGGUUUAAUUCGAUGCAACGCGAAGAACCUUACCUGGUCUUGACAUAGUAAGAACUUUCCAGAGAUGGAUUGGUGCCUUCGGGAACUUACAUACAGGUGCUGCAUGGCUGUCGUCAGCUCGUGUCGUGAGAUGUUGGGUUAAGUCCCGCAACGAGCGCAACCCUUUUCCUUAUUUGCCAGCGGGUUAAGCCGGGAACUUUAAGGAUACUGCCAGUGACAAACUGGAGGAAGGCGGGGACGACGUCAAGUCAUCAUGGCCCUUACGACCAGGGCUACACACGUGCUACAAUGGUCGGUACAAAGGGUUGCUACCUCGCGAGAGGAUGCUAAUCUCAAAAAGCCGAUCGUAGUCCGGAUUGGAGUCUGCAAC